This 732-nucleotide long non-coding RNA is filed under the name Medicago truncatula (barrel medic). Its description in RNAcentral is "long non-coding RNA (MTRU_LNC003404)". Lineage: Eukaryota; Viridiplantae; Streptophyta; Magnoliopsida; Fabales; Fabaceae. The record is from RNAcentral.
CACUUUUUUCCCACCAUGGGAAAGUGCCAUUCCCCAGGACAGGUGGCAGUUCCAACUGGUUGAAGAAUAAGAUAAAAUAAAAAAUAAAAUUAGUUUUUUAAUCCUUUUUUUAUUUUUCUAGUUUGCCUCCCCCAAUUACAAACUCUUUCCACCUUCAGUUCAUCUUGCUCUAGACGAAUAAAAAGGGAAAAUCCAACAGCUUACAUUAUAUCAUCUUCUUUGUUGAUUUUUUAUUUUUAAUUCUUUCUACCUUCAUUCAACAGUUCAUCUUCUCCGUUGACUAUUUUAUCCCUUGACAAAUCCAAUGAAUCAAGCAAAAUCCAUCAGAUCUGUCACCGGUAAGUGCUUAUUUGUCAACGAACUCACAACCACAACAUCCUAUCUUCGAUUUACAACACGAAUCCGAAUCGGUUUUGACAAAUCUCCGAAUCCGAAUUCAUUUUUUUUUUUUGUUAAAUGAAGCUUGAAGAAUGAAAAAGAAGGAAACAAUAGGAUUAUAAGAAUGAAGAAGCUUUUUUUUUUUUUCAGCAAGGAAUAAUGGAAUGCAGAAGCUUGAAUGACAUAAGAACUUCUGGAAAAUACAAACAAGUCAAGUGUGAAGAACAGCUGUCUAGGGGCAACACCACAUAAUUGCUCGAAUUUUUUUAAAAUUAUCCAACACCACAACAAAUAAUAAUUAUUAUGAUUAUUUGUUUAAAAAUAUUUACUAAGUUUCAAAUUCCUACUAUCUAA